Non-coding RNA from Pteropus alecto (black flying fox), 74 nucleotides. NCBI's taxonomy places the organism in Eukaryota, Metazoa, Chordata, Mammalia, Chiroptera, Pteropodidae. The record is from Rfam.
GGCUCCAUAGUGUAGUGGUUAGCAUGUCUGCUUUACACACAGAAGGUCCUAGGUUCGUGCCCCAGAUGGAGCCA